GACGAACGCUGGCGGCGUGCCUAAUACAUGCAAGUCGAACGCUGAAGGAGGAGCUUGCUUCUCUGGAUGAGUUGCGAACGGGUGAGUAACGCGUAGGUAACCUGCCUGGUAGCGGGGGAUAACUAUUGGAAACGAUAGCUAAUACCGCAUAAGAGUAGAUGUUGCAUGACAUUUGCUUAAAAGGUGCAAUUGCAUCACUACCAGAUGGACCUGCGUUGUAUUAGCUAGUUGGUGGGGUAACGGCUCACCAAGGCGACGAUACAUAGCCGACCUGAGAGGGUGAUCGGCCACACUGGGACUGAGACACGGCCCAGACUCCUACGGGAGGCAGCAGUAGGGAAGCUUCGGCAAUGGACGGAAGUCUGACCGAGCAACGCCGCGUGAGUGAAGAAGGUUUUCGGAUCGUAAAGCUCUGUUGUAAGAGAAGAACGAGUGUGAGAGUGGAAAGUUCACACUGUGACGGUAGCUUAACAGAAAGGGACGGCUAACUACGUG
This 495-nucleotide ribosomal RNA is filed under the name uncultured bacterium. RNAcentral describes it as "partial 16S ribosomal RNA". It matches the Rfam family "Bacterial small subunit ribosomal RNA", at positions 28 to 507 of the family's 1533-position model. The record is from RNAcentral.